CCCUCCCCCAGCCUCGCUGCCGCCUUGCAGUUUGAUCUCAGACUGCUGUGCUAUCAAUCAGUGAGACUCCGUGGGCGUAGGACCCUCCAAGCCAGGUGCCGGAUAUAAUCUCGUGGUGCGCCGUUUUUUAAGCCCGUCGGAAAAGCGCAGUAUUCGGGUGGAAGUGGCCCGAUUUUCCAGGUGCGUCCGUCACCCCUUUCUUUGACUCGGAAAGGGAACUCCCUGACCCCUUGCGCUUCCCAAGUGAGGCAAUGCGUCACCCUGCUUCGGCUCGCGCACGGUGCGUGCACCCACUGACCUGCGACCACUGUCUGGCACUCCCUAGUGAGAUGAACCCUGUACCUCAGAUGGAAAUGCAGAAAUCACCCGUCUUCUGCGUCGCUCAUGCUGGGAGCUGUAGACUGGAGCUGUUCCUAUUCGGCCAUCUUGGCUCUUCCCCCGUUUUACAAUUUAAAGGUAAAGACCUUCACAAUCGGGAACCCGUAGAUUGGAUCUUCUGAAAACAUCAGAGAAAGACUAUCUUUGCCAUCCACACUACAGUAAAACUUUGGAGCCUUGAACCUUGGAUUUAUAAUCUCACAACUGAGAAGGGUCCCUCCAUACUCCUGGAACUGUACACCCAUUGGAACUCUUAAGGAGACACCCCUGGAGUCUGUGAAUCUGCUGUGAUUCUGGGGGCUGCCCGAAUCAUGAAUCAUUCAUUGCUCAAUUAAACUCCUUUAAGUUUAAUUUGGCUGAAGUUUUUCUUUUAUCACACCCUUGCCCCAUGAGCCAGGGAAAGGGCAACUGAGGCCGCAGUAUUUUCAGUGGCACCAAGGUACAC
RNAcentral lists this long non-coding RNA (823 nucleotides) under Homo sapiens (human). RNAcentral's name for it is "HSALNT0194060". Lineage: Eukaryota; Metazoa; Chordata; Mammalia; Primates; Hominidae. The record is from RNAcentral.